GGGCGUGUGGCUCAGUUAGGAGAGCACUUGCCCCGCAUGCAUGAAGCCCUGGGUUAGAAUCCCAGCAUGCAUA
This 73-nucleotide transfer RNA is filed under the name Neotoma lepida (desert woodrat). It matches the Rfam family "tRNA". From Rfam's summary of the family: Transfer RNA (tRNA) molecules are approximately 80 nucleotides in length. Their secondary structure includes four short double-helical elements and three loops (D, anti-codon, and T loops). The record is from Rfam by way of RNAcentral. Lineage: Eukaryota; Metazoa; Chordata; Mammalia; Rodentia; Cricetidae.